UCGAACGGUAGCAGGUAAGUACUUGUACUUAUGCUGACGAGUGGCGGACGGGUGAGUAAUGUUUGGGAAUCUAGCUUAUGGAGGGGGAUAACGACGGGAAACUGUCGCUAAUACCGCGUAGUAUCGAGAGAUGAAAGUGCGGGACCUUAGGGCCGCAUGCCAUAGGAUGAGCCCAAGUGGGAUUAGGUAGUUGGUAGGGUAAAGGCCUACCAAGCCUGCGAUCUCUAGCUGGUCUGAGAGGAUGGCCAGCCACACCGGGACUGAGACACGGCCCGGACUCCUACGGGAGGCAGCAGUGGGGAAUAUUGCGCAAUGGGGGCAACCCUGACGCAGCCAUGCCGCGUGAAUGAAGAAGGCCUUCGGGUUGUAAAGUUCUUUCGGUGUUGAGGAAGGAUGUUGUGUUAAUAGCGCAACAAAUUGACGUUAAACACAGAAGAAGCACCGGCUAACUCCGUGCCAGCAGCCGCGGUAAUACGGAGGGUGCGAGCGUUAAUCGGAAUAACUGGGCGUAAAGGGCACGCAGGCGGCUAUUUAAGUGAGGUGUGAAAGCCCCGGGCUUAACCUGGGAAUUGCAUUUCAGACUGGGUAGCUAGAGUACUUUAGGGAGGGGUAGAAUUCCACGUGUAACGGUGAAAUGCGUACAGAUGUGGAGGAAUACCUAACGCGAAGGCAACCCCCUGGGAAUGUACUGACGCUCAAGUGCGAAAGCGUGGGGAACAGACUCGAUUAGAUACGCUGGUAGUCC
This 745-nucleotide ribosomal RNA is filed under the name uncultured Aggregatibacter sp. RNAcentral's name for it is "bacterial SSU rRNA". It matches the Rfam family "Bacterial small subunit ribosomal RNA", at positions 62 to 796 of the family's 1533-position model. The record is from RNAcentral. Lineage: Bacteria; Pseudomonadati; Pseudomonadota; Gammaproteobacteria; Pasteurellales; Pasteurellaceae.